UGGGGUCUCACCGGCCACUAUAUG
This 24-nucleotide microRNA is filed under the name Ptychodera flava. RNAcentral's name for it is "Pfl-Mir-193-P1d_5p* (star (passenger))". The record is from RNAcentral. Lineage: Eukaryota; Metazoa; Hemichordata; Enteropneusta; Ptychoderidae.